UGGAGAUGGCGAGGAGGCUUGCAGCGCAGUGGUUUUACUCUCGUCUGCGUAUGACUUUCCCUUCUGUUUUCCUUUUGUUUCUGUGAUGAUGAAGGUGACGGCUUUCUAUUUGGGUUCUUCUUUUUUCUGAUUUACAGGAGGCGAUCAAGAAGACGGUGACGUUAACGUUGGUCUUCUGGGUUUUCUGCUUGCGUUUGUCUCUGUUUUU
RNAcentral lists this long non-coding RNA (208 nucleotides) under Populus trichocarpa (black cottonwood). RNAcentral describes it as "long non-coding RNA (PTRI_LNC003252)". The record is from RNAcentral. Lineage: Eukaryota; Viridiplantae; Streptophyta; Magnoliopsida; Malpighiales; Salicaceae.